UGGGGAAUUUUGGACAAUGGGGGCAACCCUGAUCCAGCAAUGCCGCGUGUGUGAAGAAGGCCUUCGGGUUGUAAAGCACUUUUGUCCGGAAAGAAAACGCCGUGGUUAAUACCCGUGGCGGAUGACGGUACCGGAAGAAUAAGCACCGGCUAACUACGUGCCAGCAGCCGCGGUAAUACGUAGGGUGCAAGCGUUAAUCGGAAUUACUGGGCGUAAAGCGUGCGCAGGCGGUCCGCUAAGACAGAUGUGAAAUCCCCGGGCUUAACCUGGGAACUGCAUUUGUGACUGGCGGGCUAGAGUAUGGCAGAGGGGGGUAGAAUUCCACGUGUAGCAGUGAAAUGCGUAGAGAUGUGGAGGAAUACCGAUGGCGAAGGCAGCCCCCUGGGCCAAUACUGACGCUCAUGCACGAAAGCGUGGGGGAGCAAACAGGAUUAGAUACCCUGGUAGUCCACGCCCUAAACGAUGUCAACUAGUUGUCGGGUCUUCAUUGACUU
Molecule: ribosomal RNA, 494 nt
Filed under: uncultured bacterium
Lineage: Bacteria
Description: partial 16S ribosomal RNA
Rfam family: Bacterial small subunit ribosomal RNA
Source: RNAcentral